CACGGGGGGAGCAAGCGUUGUUCGGAUUCAUUGGGCGUAAAGAGCUCGUAGGUGGCUCUGUAAGUCGGAGGUGAAAGACCACGGCUCAACCGUGGAAACGCCUUCGAAACUGUGGAGCUUGAGGCUGGGAGAGGGAAUCGGAAUUCCUGGUGUAGCGGUGAAAUGCGUAGAUAUCAGGAGGAACACCGGUGGCGAAGGCGGAUUCCUGGACCAGUUCUGACACUGAGGAGCGAAAGCUAGGGGAGCAAACAGG
Molecule: ribosomal RNA, 253 nt
Filed under: uncultured bacterium
Lineage: Bacteria
Description: partial 16S ribosomal RNA
Rfam family: Bacterial small subunit ribosomal RNA
Source: RNAcentral